This 393-nucleotide ribosomal RNA is filed under the name Triticum aestivum (bread wheat). RNAcentral's name for it is "partial small subunit ribosomal RNA". The record is from RNAcentral. Lineage: Eukaryota; Viridiplantae; Streptophyta; Magnoliopsida; Poales; Poaceae.
AUGGUGAGGGUUAGCGUCCUGAACGAUGCUCUCAAGAGCAUGUACAACGCUGAGAAGCGUGGCAAGAGGCAGGUGAUGAUCAGGCCCUCCUCAAAAGUGAUCAUCAAGUUCCUCAUCGUCAUGCAGAAGCACGGUUACAUUGGUGAGUUUGAGUAUGUUGAUGACCACAGAUCUGGCAAGAUUGUUGUGGAGUUGAACGGCAGACUGAACAAGUGUGGAGUCAUCAGCCCCCGCUUUGAUGUUGGUGUCAAGGAGAUCGAGGGAUGGACCGCCAGGCUCCUUCCAUCUCGUCAGUUUGGCUACAUCGUCCUGACAACCUCUGCUGGCAUCAUGGAUCACGAGGAAGCCAGGAGGAAGAACGUUGGUGGCAAAGUGCUAGGCUUUUUCUACUGA